GUUUGUAUUUGCCGAAGCUAACAAGCUGAGAAACUAACUAACAGACUGGCUUAAGUGGACCAACUAAUUAACAAAUCCUAAUAAAUUAGUAACUGCUUUGUAAAGCUUAUGCAUGAAUUUCUCCACACAUUCCUUCCAAGAUUUGAGCUAAAACUUCCAUUCUUUAAUCAAGAAAAGAAGGCUCCACCGCAAUCUGUUGUCAAAAAGGAACCGAAAAUGGCAGUAGUUGGUGAAGGAGAGGCUGAGAAUGCAAAGCAGAAAUCAAUUUCUGUGACCUUUCCAAACGCUCAUCCUAUAAUUCCUCCACCGCUCGAUGUCGAGCUCGAUCUGAGCAGCUGAAGGACUCCCAAUCCCGUAGUUAUCUGGCAGGUCUGUUUUGUAUGGUUUGGAUUUUUGUAUUUCUUCACCCUCCCAAAAGUAAAAGGAGGAUUUUUGAAACUUGGGUUUUAUUUUAUAUGAGUUGAUUUAGAUUUUUUUUUUCCUGGGAAUUUCUCUCUCGAGGUAAAAUGGAAGGUUUUAGAAGUGGAAUAAUGUAAUAUUAAGCAAAUAUUGGGAAUUUGGGAUCAGUGAAGUUUGAAGCGUAUUUUCUGGUUGAAGAGGAGCUGAAAAGUUUAAUCUUUGGUCAUGAGGAAACUUUCUGAAGAAAAUUGAGAAUAAAUGUAGGAAUAUGUGAGAAAUGGGAGUCAGCUUUUAGAAUAGAAGAUGAUGAAAUACUGGGUUCAUUUCAUUCUGUUAUUGGCUUAUAAGUUCUGCUUAUUAGUUAAGCUAUAUGUCAAUUUCAUGUUUCCUUUUCAAAUAUAUUGAUGUUACAACAUGGAAUUUUUUGCUGGAUGCUUCGAAUUUAACAUGUAGAAAUCAAAACUGUUUGAUAGUAACUUCUUGCUAUUCUAAUAGAAGGCGUUGAUUUUAGGGAAGACAUUUACUUCUGCAAAGGAAGACCAAGGUCUUUGAUGGAUUUGUUGUGAUGUGUAGUGGAUCCUUGGGUUUAUAUAUCAAACUCUACAUGUAACAUGUUUUCUUCAUUUCUUGCAGUUGUGAUAAUCUUGUGGCACCAGUCACAGUAAAACUGCAGUUAUUGUUAUGCCGUUUUCAUAACAAAGGAAUUAGAAUGUGGCAGAUGUUUAUGACUCAUAUCUUUCAAACAAAGUGCUAAGCAUAAAAGUAGAUGCAUGCACUGGAGGUUUUAUAUAUUGCCUAGUUGAUUGUGUAGUAAGAGUAGCUGCAUCGCAAAAUUUGUUGCCGUUGUUUUUAAGCUGAUUAUGUAUUUCUAUAUGGAGGUUUGUAACACAUAUAGUUGGUGGAGCACUUAAAUGGGGUUUACUGUGUUGUAUUGCCUGUAAUAUUUGCCCCACAGAAGCUGUUCAGAGGGAACAAAAAAAUUUUGCAGGAUUUUUCUUAGGAGGUCAAUUGAAAUGAAAUGGACAUGGUGGAUGAAUUCGAGAAGUUUUAUCUAGUUAGGGCAGAAGUGGGGGAAGCAAAUGAUUGUAGCUUAUUAAUAUGUAUGAGGACAUGCAUAUGAAUUACGGCUAAAUGUAAAUAUAUGAAAUAUGCAUAAGUUUACUAUUUCCUUUUAGCUCAUACUACUCUCUCGCUUCAUCCUCCUAGUGGUAAGAAGCUAGACAUUUGAAUUAUUCCUCUCUUUUAUGUUUUAUGAAAUCCAGAUUCUGACUAUGUCAUAUUGAUAGUUAGAAAUGUUAUAAUUUGCCAUUAUGUUGUUGGUUCAUUACAAAAAUGAAAAGCCUUAAAAUUCCACUAAAUUUUGAACUUCUAAAAUUUGAACUCUAGUCUUGAGCAAAUUAUAGAAUUGCUGCCUGCUUGUUUUCUCUGAAGAAACAUAAUAAUAAGUUUAGCUUUUAUUUGUCUGAAUCCAUAAUCAGUGGAAAUCCUGUUUUUUGUUGAAGUGUUGACCUCUUUCACAGGUUUUCUUUUUAGACAUUGUAACUAAUCUGUUUUUUGUGGCUUCUCUGGGGAUCUCUCUCUGUUGCCAAUGCCAAAUUGUUUUAAGUUUACUGUAUUCACUUCUAUUCGUCUGAGACGUCAGACGACAGACCACUGAUACAUUGACAUGAUCUUUUGUUUGGGGUUUUCUUAUUAAUUUUAUAUCGAGUUUCUUUCUUAUUGAAAUCACCUCAUCUACUUUCAGAUUUAUGUCCUUGGUGGGUUCGUUAUAUUGAAGUGGGUAUGGGCAAGAUGGAAGGAAAGAACAGAAAGAGGUAAGAAAGCAUCAUCUGAUGAUGAUCAAUCUUCUGAUGAGUAUCAAUCACCACCAGAUGAUCAUGAAUGAUUCUGAAGUUGUGUCUUACUGAAAAUGCAAUUUUAGCUACUGAAUGUAAAGCUGGUUAGGCUAGCCAACAGUGAUUUUUGUAAUUUCCUUUAUUGCUUUCAUGAACUUAUAUAACUUGUGCUUUUAACGUUCUCCUUUUGCACAGUUAAAACGUGGUUACAAUAUUGCAUCUGAAUACAUGAUAAGCAAUGGCAUAGGUGAAGUAAGCAAUCACAAACAGUUUUUGCGUUAAAU
RNAcentral lists this unclassified non-coding RNA (2518 nucleotides) under Hevea brasiliensis (rubber tree). Lineage: Eukaryota; Viridiplantae; Streptophyta; Magnoliopsida; Malpighiales; Euphorbiaceae. The record is from RNAcentral.